This 369-nucleotide ribosomal RNA is filed under the name uncultured eukaryote. RNAcentral describes it as "partial 18S ribosomal RNA". It matches the Rfam family "Eukaryotic small subunit ribosomal RNA", at positions 592 to 975 of the family's 1831-position model. The record is from RNAcentral.
CAAUAGCGUAUAUUAAAGUUGUUGCAGUUAAAAAGCUCGUAGUUGGACCUUGGACCUGGACAGGCGGUCCGCCUCACGGCGAGUACUGUCUUGCCGGGCCUUUCCUCUUGGUGAUCUGUUGUUUCGGCAGCAGGGAACCAGGACCUUUACUUUGAAAAAAUUAGAGUGUUCAAAGCAGGCUCGACGCCGGAAUAUAUUAGCAUGGAAUAAUAAAAUAGGACGUGCGGUUCUAUUUUGUUGGUUUUUGGAAUCGCCGUAAUGAUUAAUAGGGACAGUCGGGGGCAUUAGUACUCACAUGCUAGAGGUGAAAUUCUUGGAUUUUGUGAAGACUAACUUCUGCGAAAGCAUUUGCCAAGGAUGUUUUCGUUA